AGACUUGUGAGGCAUUCUUACCUCAUUUUUCGUCUUAUACAAUUACUCAACUCCUACACCUUAACCAAAAUUUCCUCUCAAGUCUGUCUUCUUUGGAGCAACUUGGUUCACUCGAUGAAGCAGGGGAAAAGGCAUCAAAAGUCAUUCAUGCCGUUUUUGCCAAAUUUUGCUUUAUACGUCUGCCUCCUCUAUCUGAAUUGCCUCAUUCAUGCUCCUUCAUUGAGUUCCUCUGGAUAUAUUUUCUAUUUUAGUUUUGCAUGUGUUUGAACUAGAAGUUUCACGAUUUUGACGGAAAAUACAAGCUAAUUAGGGUAUUAUUACUUAGUUUUAGAAAUCGAGCUCAGGCGGCGGUGAUGUGAGUGGGGGAUGUUAUCUGCAGCUGAGCAGCAGGAGGCUGGAGAAACCCUUGGUGGGUUUUGAAAAGAAAAGACGGAAACACCCUUUGAAGGAAUCAAAAAGACAGAAUCGGAGUUUGAGGGUGAGGGAGAUGAACGGCAAUCUUGGAAUUCUGGGUCUGUUGAGGGUGAAGAGGAGAAGAAGGAAGAAGUUCAUGUACAGGAAAAUCAGAAGGAAAUUGACAACAAUGGCAGCUUUGAAGGUGAAAACUUGCUGGAAUUUGAUGGUACAGAGAGGUGAGUUUUCGCCUUUUCGGGUUUUUGUUAAAUUUGCUCGAUGUAAUUGUUAGAUUUUUCAGUAUGAUUAGGGUUGAUGCUCUGUUUACUGGUAAGUCGGAAUUCGAACUCUCACCAAAAAGGUGAAAGUUUGGGUAGUCA
Molecule: RNA transcript, 773 nt
Organism: Solanum tuberosum (potato)
Lineage: Eukaryota; Viridiplantae; Streptophyta; Magnoliopsida; Solanales; Solanaceae
Exons: 2
Source: RefSeq, a predicted model, not a curated record